CUAUUUUGUGUACGUGAGAUAACAUAUCAGACAUACUGUAAUUAAAGUGUAGUCUCUAAAGUUGUAUAAGAGUGAGAAAGUAUGAGUCUUAAACGUAAGCUUGAAGGUGAGGUUGAGAUCAGAGAAAGUGCUGCAGAUGUCCUCCAUGACAUACUUUCGAGUAAACCUCAUCAUGUUUCCCAUGCAGCCUCUCAUUUUAUUCAGGCUGUUGAUUUACAUGAGGGAGACCACGGUAAAGUUGGCUGUACAACUGUUUGGAACUACACUUUAGCAUACGUGGUGAUCCAAGUGUUGUUCGUGGACCAACAUUAGAGGAACGGCGCUUGACGUUCUAAGGUGAUCUCCACUAGAAGUUUGGUGAAAAGAGGAACAUACGCAUCAAAGUUCCUACAGUUGAUGAAGAGAAGAAGUAUGUGAGAUACCGAGUGAUUGAAGGCGAUUUAUUGGAUGAGUAUAAGACUCUUACAGGGGAAUUCCAUGUGAUACCCAAGGAUGAGAAAACCAGCAUAGGGACGUGGACAUUAAAAUAUGAGAAGCAGCAUCCUGGUAUCCCUGAACCAACUGAAUUGCUCGAUUCCUGGCUUGCUUCUACCAAAGACUUGGAUGAUCAUCACCAUGGAAUAAAAAAGUGAACGAUGUUUUAAGUCAAUAAGUUCACCAGUUUAUUGGAUCCAAAAUAUUGUAUGAAUUAAGUUGGAAAUGUUUUUGGUUGGUUGUUUGCAUACUAAGUACUUCAAACUAAAUAAGGGAUGUAUUUAAUUAUAUUACAUUUUUACUGAUCUGUUGGUCAUUAUGAGUGUACCAGUGUGUAUGGUCAAUAAAAAAAUAAUAGUUGUGUAUUUGUAAU
RNA transcript from Beta vulgaris subsp. vulgaris (sugar beet), 847 nucleotides. It is a transcript of the gene named MLP-like protein 34, with no coding region annotated. The record is from RefSeq and is a predicted model, not a curated record. NCBI's taxonomy places the organism in Eukaryota, Viridiplantae, Streptophyta, Magnoliopsida, Caryophyllales, Amaranthaceae. The transcript is spliced from 3 exons.